AUGGCCGCGACGUCGUCAGCCUCGUGCGCCGGAGCCUCCCCGAGCUUCUCGGUGACGAUCAGGAGCUUCACCGCCGUCAUUUGCUUCGUCUACAUGCGUCGAAUCGAGAAGGGCGGCCUCGUACGCUCGUCACAGCCGUCAUCUGCUCCGCCACAGUCGUCGACCCCGUCGUCGAUUCGCGCAUCUCCGGUUCAUCCCCGACCACCUCGAGCUCGCCUAAAGAACCAAAACCCCGAGACCGAUGUUGCCCCUGUGAUCGACUACGUCGACGAUGACCCCUCCUUGCCAGAGCAACCAGAUGACGGAUCCCAGGCGCCAGACGACACCACUGAUGACUACUGCUAUCCCGAGGAUGCCUACUACUACGUGACGACCGCUGACGACUUGGAGUAG
Molecule: ribosomal RNA, 393 nt
Filed under: Triticum aestivum (bread wheat)
Lineage: Eukaryota; Viridiplantae; Streptophyta; Magnoliopsida; Poales; Poaceae
Description: partial small subunit ribosomal RNA
Source: RNAcentral